GUCUAUGGCCAUACCACUCUAAACGCGCCCGAUGUUGUCUGAUCUCAGAAGCCAAGCAGGGUCGGACCCGGUUAGUAUUUAAAUGGAAGAGAAAGGCUGGGCUGUGACAAUUC
Molecule: non-coding RNA, 113 nt
Organism: Heterocephalus glaber (naked mole-rat)
Lineage: Eukaryota; Metazoa; Chordata; Mammalia; Rodentia; Bathyergidae
Source: Rfam